AGUCACUGACAUUAGAUACCCCUGUAGUCCAGGGUGUAAACGCUGCAGACUUGGUGUUGGAAGUCCUUUGGGGGCAUUCAGUGCCGGAGAGAAGUUGUUAAGUCUGCUACUUGGGGAGUACGUCCGCGAGGAUGAAACUUAAAGGAAUUGGCGGGGAGCACCGCAACGGGAGGAGCGUGCGGUUUAAUUGGAUUCAACACCGUAAAACUCACCAGGGAAGACUGUUACAUGAAAGCCGAGAUGAAGACUCUGCUAGAUUUUUCAG
RNAcentral lists this ribosomal RNA (265 nucleotides) under uncultured archaeon. RNAcentral describes it as "partial 16S ribosomal RNA". It matches the Rfam family "Archaeal small subunit ribosomal RNA", at positions 718 to 982 of the family's 1478-position model. The record is from RNAcentral.